CAGUCAUGUUGCCCGAGGAUCAACCUUGCUCUUUUGCUUGGUGUACUUCUUGGAUCGACAGGUCAGCAUGAAUCUUGAGCGGUGGAAAAGGGUUUGGGGAAUGUGGCACCUCCGGGUGUGUUAUAGCCCCUUGCUGUAUACACUGGUUGGGAUUGAGGUUUCAGUGCACGCUUCGGUUGUGCUUUGAUGCUGGCGUAAUGGCUUUAAACGCCCGUCUUGAAACCGGACCAAGGAGUCUAACAUAUAUGCGAGUGUUU
RNAcentral lists this ribosomal RNA (257 nucleotides) under Pacispora scintillans. Lineage: Eukaryota; Fungi; Glomeromycota; Glomeromycetes; Diversisporales; Pacisporaceae. The record is from RNAcentral.